GGCUCGUUGGUCUAGGGGUAUGAUUCCUGCUGAGGGUGCAGGAGGUCCCGGGUUCAAAUCCCGGACGAGCCC
Molecule: transfer RNA, 72 nt
Filed under: Schistocerca americana (American grasshopper)
Lineage: Eukaryota; Metazoa; Arthropoda; Insecta; Orthoptera; Acrididae
Description: tRNA-Pro
Rfam family: tRNA
About the family: Transfer RNA (tRNA) molecules are approximately 80 nucleotides in length.
Source: RNAcentral